Molecule: long non-coding RNA, 1252 nt
Organism: Mus musculus (house mouse)
Lineage: Eukaryota; Metazoa; Chordata; Mammalia; Rodentia; Muridae
Product: predicted gene, 34804
Exons: 3
Source: RefSeq, a predicted model, not a curated record
UUACCUGCUGAGCCAUCUCACCAGCCCCCAAGAGUGGCUUUUAAAAAGCAGCUAGCUCUUUCUACCUCACCUGAAGAUUGAAGGUGGUAGGGAAAGUGAAAAUGCCAGGGGAUGUCUAGGGCCUUAGAUAGAAUUUGAAAAAUCUGGGAAGUAAUUCAGGACCAUUGUCUGAUUGGAGAGAAGCUGGCCCCUUCAUGUAGAAAGGAGCUGCCAUCUGUAUACCAGGUAUAGAUGGCCUGGAGCGAUGUGUCCUCUCAUAUGUGUGAAGGAUUAGGUUCCUCUAAAGUUUCAGUGCAUGAGUGAGAUAGGAAGUGGUUAAUAUUAGAUCAAGCAAGAAGACUGGAAAUAUUAAGAUGCGAGCAUGAUUGGAAGGAGGAUUAAAUACCAGCAAACUUCAGAAGCCUUCGUGGGAAGAGUCAACAGAGGCCAGAUGUACCCUAUAACACCUUUCAGACAAGAAGCACUGUUCACUGAAAACACUGGCAUCGGAACCCCCGCCUGAUGCCCAGGAGCACAAACCCCAGCCUUGUGCCUCUCACAGAUGCUCGGGGGGGGUGGAAGAAGGAUCUUCACACGUGAAACCAGAUCAGUUCUGGCCAAGAUCUAAAUGCUAGAAGCUUCUGGGCAUUCCUAGAACUUCUGGAAGCUUCUGAAAAUUGUUUUCCUGCUUGGUAAAAGUAAACGAAUAGGGAAAAAAGCCUAGCUGUAAAAGGGCCAAGGACCUCCUGAUAUGAGCUACAUAGACUUGGUCCAACCAAGAGGGAACAUUACCAAGUUGAGGGUAGCGGACAGUUCCUGAGAGACUCUCUCCACAGCUCUAGAACCAUCUGCCUUGGACUGUCUCUUUCCAGAAGGCCACUGAACCUCCUCUUGAUUUAGCCAUGUCAAGAUAGUAGUCUCCACAUUGUAGAGUUAAAACAUAGUCAUGUUCUUGGUUACAAAAAGCCACUGCUUCCCUGAACACACAGCUCUCUUCAACCAUCUGAGCUAACAGCAAGCUUAAUUGGCCUGACGUGUACCUGCUGUGGAUCCUUCCAAGACAUCAGAAGUCAACAGCUCACCAUCAUUCUGCGUCAUCAAUCAUUUCUUCCUCAAGACAAAAGCAGCUUGCCCCUGAACUGAAGAGAUCUGUCAGGACUCACCCACCAUCCUCUCUAUUUUGUUCACUUUGGAAUAACCCCACAUUGGUUGAGCCUUUUGGGGCUGACUCCAGAGACUUGAGUCUAAGGAUAAACAGGCUCUUGCCAUCUCA